CAAAUGAACAGUAAGUUAAGUUCUCAGAAGAGAUUAAAAGGGAAUUCGGUGAAAUUCCGAAGCGGUCCCGCCACUGUAAUAGGGAGCUAGAUACAUAAUCCACUGGUAAUAAUCGGGAAGGAGUAUUUAGUGAUGAACUUAAGUCAGGAGACCUACUUAAUGAACGAUAUCCUA
RNAcentral lists this non-coding RNA (174 nucleotides) under Lachnospiraceae bacterium TWA4. RNAcentral also lists the same sequence under 1 other name. The record is from RNAcentral. Lineage: Bacteria; Bacillati; Bacillota; Clostridia; Lachnospirales; Lachnospiraceae.